This 447-nucleotide ribosomal RNA is filed under the name uncultured bacterium. Its description in RNAcentral is "partial 16S ribosomal RNA". It matches the Rfam family "Bacterial small subunit ribosomal RNA", at positions 328 to 792 of the family's 1533-position model. The record is from RNAcentral.
GCACCAGACUCCUACGGGAGGCAGCAGUGGGGAAUAUUGCACAAUGGGGGAAACCCUGAUGCAGCGACGCCGCGUGAGUGAUGAAGUAUUUCGGUAUGUAAAGCUCUAUCAGCAGGGAAGAUAAUGACGGUACCUGACUAAGAAGCUCCGACUAAAUACGUGCCAGCAGCCGCGGUAAUACGUAUGGAGCAAGCGUUAUCCGGAUUUACUGGGUGUAAAGGGAGCGUAGACGGCGGUGCAAGCCAGAUGUGAAAGCCCGGGGCUCAACCCCGGGACUGCAUUUGGAACUGUGCUGCUAGAGUGUCGGAGAGGCAGGCGGAAUUCCUAGUGUAGCGGUGAAAUGCGUAGAUAUUAGGAGGAACACCAGUGGCGAAGGCGGCCUGCUGGACGAUGACUGACGUUGAGGCUCGAAAGCGUGGGGAGCAAACAGGAUUAGAUACCCGUGUA